CCUACGGGUGGCAGCAGUGGGGAAUAUUGCACAAUGGGCGCAAGCCUGAUGCAGCCAUGCCGCGUGUGUGAAGAGGGCCUUCGGGUUGUAAAGCACUUUCAGCGGGGAGGAAGGCGGUGAGGUUAAUAACCUCAUCGAUUGACGUUACCCGCAGAAGAAGCACCGGCUAACUCCGUGCCAGCAGCCGCGGUAAUACGGAGGGUGCAAGCGUUAAUCGGAAUUACUGGGCGUAAAGCGCACGCAGGCGGUCUGUCAAGUCGGAUGUGAAAUCCCCGGGCUCAACCUGGGAACUGCAUUCGAAACUGGCAGGCUAGAGUCUUGUAGAGGGGGGUAGAAUUCCAGGUGUAGCGGUGAAAUGCGUAGAGAUCUGGAGGAAUACCGGUGGCGAAGGCGGCCCCCUGGACAAAGACUGACGCUCAGGUGCGAAAGCGUGGGGAGCAAACAGGAUUAGAUACCCUAGUAGUC
This 465-nucleotide ribosomal RNA is filed under the name uncultured Klebsiella sp. RNAcentral's name for it is "bacterial SSU rRNA". It matches the Rfam family "Bacterial small subunit ribosomal RNA", at positions 338 to 795 of the family's 1533-position model. Lineage: Bacteria; Pseudomonadati; Pseudomonadota; Gammaproteobacteria; Enterobacterales; Enterobacteriaceae. The record is from RNAcentral.